Oryza sativa Japonica Group (Japanese rice) is the source of this 2870-nucleotide long non-coding RNA. RefSeq lists it as uncharacterized. NCBI's taxonomy places the organism in Eukaryota, Viridiplantae, Streptophyta, Magnoliopsida, Poales, Poaceae. The record is from RefSeq and is a predicted model, not a curated record.
UACAAAAUUGCCCUCGCCGUCGUGCUCUCCGCCUCACUUCCUUCCUCCCUCGCUCGUCCGGGGCGGCGCCGCCGCGGCCGGUGGCCGGCGGCGCCGACGAUCUCUCCUUCUGCGGGUUCGCGCGUCCUCUUCCUCGGCGUUCGGAGACGCAUUGCCUCUUCCCUCCCCUAGUGAUGAUCCAUUCUCAAGGAAACCUAUACUCGUGUUUACGAUGAUCCAGAGGAAGAAGAGGGAACGACACUUGAUGAAGCUGGGAAUUUCAAUGAUAACUUAGAAAAUAAUAUCGAAGAGCUCUGCAGAAGAUUGGAAGGCCGUUAUCUCCAAGAAAAAGAGCAGGAAACCUUACUUCUGCAAUGAACAUGAUAUCAGACAUAUGCUCCUGAUGAAAUGUUUCAAUUGAAAAACCAGGGAAAGAGAAAUCCCUUAGGAAGAAGGAAAUACUUGAUCUGAUGAACUCGAAUCAGAACUUAGUGCUGCUGCAUAGGGAGCAGGUGAUCUGCUAGGGAGGAAGACUGAUGCUGAAAAGAGAAAGCUGUCUACCAUGCAGCAGUCCUUGCAAAAGGAAGAAGAGGCAUACAAAGCAUUGAAAAAUACAACCGAAGUUGAAGAAAACUAGUUCUUGGGUGAAGACUACGAAGAUCUGCAGAAAUCACUGGAGCAAGCAGGAAGAGACUGCAGAUUCUGGUCCUCUUGCUGUAGCAAUACUAGCUACUGCCAGCAAAGACCAAGAGCUGCAGGAGGUCCACACAAAAUAACUGAGGUGGGAGAGUUUGUGUGGGGCCUACAAAUGAAGUUUGUGAUCUCAGGUAGUUCCGAAUAAGAGACAUGCGCGCCAGAAGCAAGAGAUGUUUUUAUGGAUGAACACAGUAACGGUUUCCUUCAGGUCAUCUAGCAAAAGGACAUGACAAGUUAGCAGUGAUCAAAGAGGAAACUAACAUUGAAGACCUGAUAAAAGAUGAAAAGGCAGAAGAUGUUGAACUGAAUAUGAUUGUAGAUGAAGUUGUUCUAGUUGGCAAUGAUUUGGCUGGUGCUUUGCAGUUCUGUAUGAAGUGCUCAGUGAGGGCUCAGAUUGGGGGGCACAACCACAAACAAUAAUAUAUUUGCAUAGAAAGAACUGAUGAAUUUGAUCAAGUGGUGACUGACGGAGGCAUUUGUCACCAAGUAAGAUGCAGCAGACAAGAUGCCUGAAUGUAAACCAAGGAAAUGAUAUCCUCUCACUCGCUUUCAAUGUCUGCAAAAAAGAUGAGAGCUCAAGCUCUCAGCAAAACACCAUACCUUGUUAAGUCAAGUGGCAAUGCAAAAUGAAGGCUAGCAAGUGACGCCAACGCCAGUGGCCUCUCUGUGGUGGAGAAAGAGCAUCCUAGGAGUCUGACGCCCAUGCUAUGGGCCAAAAAGGUCGAGCACUUUUCCGAACAUCAAACGAAGCGCCCAUGCUGGGAGCAAUGCCUCCGCCACCUUCAAAGGGACCGAAGAACUGAACCUGCAGUGGACUUAACUGUGAGUAAGAAUUCAGUGGUAGUAGUAGCUUUCUAGCGCAUCUGCUGCUGCAGGUUUGGAGCAGAUUUCGAGCCCUCACCGACAGCAACGACAGGGCCAGGUACCAACGGCACAUGACAUGUAAAAAAACCUGAGAAAAAAUUCACUCCAAGCUGAUCAACUGACACAGGUGGUGAAAACUUCAGUGACCAGCGGUACUUGCCCAUGCAUAUGCUCUCCCACGAAAUCGCAGAGCCUGAACCAAUGGUUCUUUCUGUCACAUUGCUUUGCGUUUAAACUGAAGUUAUGAUAACUGUCAAGCUUUAAAAGUGUCUGCACUUAGGUUGACAAACUUAGGUGGCACUAUAAGUAACUACCUAAAGGCAACUUAAAGUAGAAGCAUGUAGCAGCUAGAGCAUGAUGUUAGUAGUAGUAGUAGUAGUAGCCUUGGUAGAUCUGUGGGGUUGGAGACGUGGCACUGUUAAGCCCAGGUGCCUCUCCUAAGUUCCAUUUGCUCCAUGGUGUGUCCACUCUCCAGGAAGAUACCAAGGUAUGGGCAAAAGUGUAUUUUAGGCUAUCCUGGUAUUUUACCACAAAUUGUGCCGCCAUGUUCUCAAUCCUGUAGUACUUAUUCUGUGCAGUUAUUGGAUAUCGUACAGAAACGAACAAACGGUAAAAAACGUGUAAUAGUGAUGGUUUUGGUUGGCUUGCUUAAUGGUACUGACCAAACAUGGAAUCUUGCCCCUAGAUCAGGGGCUACCUAUCUAUGAUCAUACCACUACUAAUAUUUUUUCCUGCUAUCUUUCUCUACAGUUGAUGCAUUAUAAUACUUCGCUGUGAUCUUUGAAGAUCUAAGGCGUAUCUGCGGACGAGCCUAAAAAAGCUUUCUUAUGAGCUCCCCAAUUUAUAAAGUCUCCUCAGGUCGAUAGCGGCCAGCACAAAAGUGCAGGCUACAGGGGGCAAUGUGCCACCCUGUUUGUUUGGGUGGGGCCUCCCCGGCCGGGCUAAGCUAGGCUAGGCGGCCUCCCGGAUGUGGCAACUAGAUCUGCACAUUUCCAUGCAACAGCUAGCGUUAUACUCGCCUACUACUACUCCACGCCAGCGGAGGAGUACGUACCAUUCUUCUUCUUGGGCCAUCUCGUCGUGCUUGCUUCUCGCCUUGCUACAACCAUAUUCCAUCAUCCAUGAUAGUUCUUUGAUCCAUUCGUGUUAUCGUGUCCUGUUCUCUUAGCCAGGCAUUUCGUUGUGUGAUUUAAGGGUUUGUUUGGUUUGAAGAAAACCUAAAGAAUUUAAAUUUUUAAGGAUUUUUUUUUCUUAUGAGUGUCUUUCGGUUUAUAGGAAUGUGGGUUUAGGAAAAGUAAAAGGAAUGUGGGUUUAUUCCCCUUUUUUUUCUA